GGGAUUGUGGCUCUGUGGUAGAGCGCUUGCCUAGCAUGUGUGAGGCCCUGGGUUUGAUUCUCAGCACCA
This 69-nucleotide transfer RNA is filed under the name Ictidomys tridecemlineatus (thirteen-lined ground squirrel). RNAcentral's name for it is "Spermophilus tridecemlineatus (thirteen-lined ground squirrel) tRNA". It matches the Rfam family "tRNA". From Rfam's summary of the family: Transfer RNA (tRNA) molecules are approximately 80 nucleotides in length. Their secondary structure includes four short double-helical elements and three loops (D, anti-codon, and T loops). Further hydrogen bonds mediate the characteristic L-shaped molecular structure. tRNAs have two regions of fundamental functional importance: the anti-codon, which is responsible for specific mRNA codon recognition, and the 3' end, to which the tRNAs corresponding amino acid is attached (by aminoacyl-tRNA synthetases). tRNAs cope with the degeneracy of the genetic code in two manners: having more than one tRNA (with a specific anti-codon) for a particular amino acid; and 'wobble' base-pairing, i.e. permitting non-standard base-pairing at the 3rd anti-codon position. The record is from Rfam by way of RNAcentral. Lineage: Eukaryota; Metazoa; Chordata; Mammalia; Rodentia; Sciuridae. RNAcentral also lists the same sequence under 1 other name.